AUGAAUCUUGUUAACCCGUUGAAGCUGAAAACUGUAAAUGCAGAAUCCAUUGUGCGUACACAAGAAAGCCGGUUUUUGGAGUCUGGAGAUGAAUCCUUGAGAGUUAUGGCCAGAAACAGAACGGGCAUGAUAAUCUCUUGCUUGAGUGUGCCACUUCUUCACAUGGGACUGCUCUCUUUUCGAAUACCAACCAUGUGUUACAUGUUAAGUAGCGCAGGGCGUGUGUGUGUCGUACUACUGGUAGUUGUUGCUUCAAGAGAGUAUGAGGUGAGUGAGGAUAUCAGAGUUGAUGUGCUUAUGUUAGUAGUUGAUUUUGUUUCUGUGUUUUCUAAUUUUACAAAGAUUGAACUAAACUUUAUGUAG
This 363-nucleotide ribosomal RNA is filed under the name Triticum aestivum (bread wheat). RNAcentral's name for it is "partial small subunit ribosomal RNA". The record is from RNAcentral. Lineage: Eukaryota; Viridiplantae; Streptophyta; Magnoliopsida; Poales; Poaceae.